AUUUUCUUGUUUUUUAUACAGCUGGCUGUGACCUGUUCUCUCCGUCGUCAUCGAAGCUUUAGUAUAAAACGAGGCGUUUAUGGAACACAGACAUCAGUUCAACCUGAAAAUUGUUACAAUGAAAUUCUUCGCCUUCUUCACGUUGUUCGUGUGCGCCAUCUUGGCUCUGGCCAGCGGUGAGCGGGUGUACUACAGACAGGUGCGCAGCCCAGUGCCUGUCCAGGACGCAGCGCCAGCACCAGGCCACCACCACCACCAUCACCACUACGGAUACGGCUACGGAUACCACUGAUAUGGAAGUGAUUGGCUAUUGAUUGAUUAAAAGUUUUGUUAAGUUUACGAUUGGGUUAUUGUUUAGUAUGAGGUAUAAUAAUAAAAUAUUUUGUAGUUAA
Long non-coding RNA from Spodoptera frugiperda (fall armyworm), 392 nucleotides. RefSeq lists it as uncharacterized. NCBI's taxonomy places the organism in Eukaryota, Metazoa, Arthropoda, Insecta, Lepidoptera, Noctuidae. The transcript has 2 exons. The record is from RefSeq and is a predicted model, not a curated record.